This 464-nucleotide ribosomal RNA is filed under the name uncultured Comamonadaceae bacterium. RNAcentral's name for it is "partial 16S ribosomal RNA". It matches the Rfam family "Bacterial small subunit ribosomal RNA", at positions 338 to 794 of the family's 1533-position model. Lineage: Bacteria; Pseudomonadati; Pseudomonadota; Betaproteobacteria; Burkholderiales; Comamonadaceae. The record is from RNAcentral.
CCUACGGGAGGCAGCAGUGGGGAAUUUUGGACAAUGGGCGCAAGCCUGAUCCAGCAAUGCCGCGUGCAGGAUGAAGGCCUUCGGGUUGUAAACUGCUUUUGUACGGAACGAAAAGGCUCUGGCUAAUACCUGGGGCUGAUGACGGUACCGUAAGAAUAAGCACCGGCUAACUACGUGCCAGCAGCCGCGGUAAUACGUAGGGUGCGAGCGUUAAUCGGAAUUACUGGGCGUAAAGCGUGCGCAGGCGGUUUUGCAAGACAGGUGUAAAAUCCCCGGGCUAAACCUGGAAACUGCACUUGUGACUGCAAGGCUGGAGUACGGCAGAGGGGGAUGAAAUUCCGCGUGUAGCGGUAAAAUGCGUAGAUAUCCGGAGGAACACCGAGGGCGAAGGCAGCCCCCUGGGCCUGUACUGACGCUCAUGCACGAAAGCGUGGGGAGCAAACAGGAUUAGAUCCCCUUGUAGU